Molecule: ribosomal RNA, 557 nt
Filed under: Penicillium sp.
Lineage: Eukaryota; Fungi; Ascomycota; Eurotiomycetes; Eurotiales; Aspergillaceae
Description: LSU rRNA
Rfam family: Eukaryotic large subunit ribosomal RNA
Source: RNAcentral
UACGGCGAGUGAAGCGGCAAGAGCUCAAAUUUGAAAGCUGGCUCCUUCGGGGUCCGCAUUGUAAUUUGCAGAGGAUGCUUCGGGAGCGGUCCCCAUCUAAGUGCCCUGGAACGGGACGUCAUAGAGGGUGAGAAUCCCGUAUGGGAUGGGGUGUCCGCGCCCGUGUGAAGCUCCUUCGACGAGUCGAGUUGUUUGGGAAUGCAGCUCUAAAUGGGUGGUAAAUUUCAUCUAAAGCUAAAUAUUGGCCGGAGACCGAUAGCGCACAAGUAGAGUGAUCGAAAGAUGAAAAGCACUUUGAAAAGAGAGUUAAAAAGCACGUGAAAUUGUUGAAAGGGAAGCGCUUGCGACCAGACUCGCUCGCGGGGUUCAGCCGGCAUUCGUGCCGGUGUAUUUCCCCGCGGGCGGGCCAGCGUCGGUUUGGGCGGUCGGUCAAAGGCCCUCGGAAGGUAACGCCCCUAGGGGCGUCUUAUAGCCGAGGGUGCAAUGCGACCUGCCUAGACCGAGGAACGCGCUUCGGCUCGGACGCUGGCAUAAUGGUCGUAAGCGACCCGUCUUGA